This 301-nucleotide ribosomal RNA is filed under the name uncultured bacterium. RNAcentral describes it as "partial 16S ribosomal RNA". It matches the Rfam family "Bacterial small subunit ribosomal RNA", at positions 509 to 807 of the family's 1533-position model. The record is from RNAcentral.
CAGUCGCCGCGGGAAUACAGAGGGUGCGAGCGUUAAUCGGAUUUACUGGGCGUAAAGCGUGCGUAGGCGGCUUCUUAAGUCGGAUGUGAAAUCCCUGAGCUUAACUUAGGAAUUGCAUUCGAUACUGGGAAGCUAGAGUAUGGGAGAGGAUGGUAGAAUUCCAGGUGUAGCGGUGAAAUGCGUAGAGAUCUGGAGGAAUACCGAUGGCGAAGGCAGCCAUCUGGCCUAAUACUGACUCUGAGGUACGAAAGCAUGGGGAGCAAACAGGAUUAGAUACCCGGGUAGUCCCUGUCUCUUAUAC